AAAAGAAGAUGGGAGAAAAGCAAUAUGAAAGAAGUCAAGAGGAAAUGUGCUAUUCCCUCUAGGACGUAAAACGCAUUUGAUAUAGCAUACUUCUAUUUCUCCCACUCUCUCUUGCUUAGUAGAACACGUUAGAUUACGGCGUUGAAGAUACGUUACUCGAAGGGCUAAGAAGAAAUGGUUGCUCAUGAGCCAUAAGUGAGAAUAUAGAAAGUAAUUAGUAUUUCAUUGUCGAACGAAUAAACGAGCGUUCAAAUCGAUGCGACGGCCGUGGGAAGAGUGCUUAGAAGGUAACGCGUCCGCGUCCGUGUUACCGUCAUCGUCGCAGUCAUCAUCAUCGUCAUCAUCGUUACUACCACCAUCAUAUUUAUCAGAAUAAUUAACAAAUUUGUACGUUUACAUUUGUCUGAGAGCAAAAUAAGGCGAUUAAAGGCAAUACAAAAAAAAUAAAAAUGUUUUUUUAAGUCAAA
RNAcentral lists this long non-coding RNA (467 nucleotides) under Polistes fuscatus (common paper wasp). RNAcentral's name for it is "uncharacterized LOC122513856". Lineage: Eukaryota; Metazoa; Arthropoda; Insecta; Hymenoptera; Vespidae. The record is from RNAcentral.